CAUGUAAGUCGACGUGAGGGAUAGCAAUAUCCUGAAAGUGGCGGACGGGUGAGUAACGCGUAGGUAACCUACCUUGGUGUGGGGGAUAACCAUUGGAAACGGUGGCUAAUACCGCAUGGGUCUGUGAAGUGUGGGUACUUCAUGGAUAAAGAUUAAUUUGCGCCAAGAGGGGUCUGCGUCCGAUUAGCUAGUUGGUGGGGUAAUGGCCUACCAAGGCGAUGAUCGGUAGCUGGUCUGAGAGGAUGAUCAGCCACACGGGAACUGAGGCACGGUCCCGACUCCUACGGGGGGCAGCAGUGAGGAAUAUUGCACAAUGGGGGCAACCCUGAUGCAGCAACGCCGCGUGGAGGAUGAAGAUCUUCGGGUCGUAAACUCCUGUCGAGCGGGAAGAACACCUUCCGGGUGAAUAAUCCGGAGGGCUGACGGUACCGCUAAAGGAAGCCCCGGCUAACUCCGUGCCAGCAGCCGCGGUAAUACGGGGGGGGCAAGCGUUGUUCGGAAUUACUGGGCGUAAAGGGCUCGUAGGCGGCCAACUAAGUCGGACGUGAAAUCCCCAGGCUCAACCUGGGAACUGCGUCCGAUACUGGAUGGCUUGAAUCCGGGAGAGGGAUGCAGAAUUCCAGGUGUAGCGGUGAAAUGCGUAGAUAUCUGGAGGAAUACCGGUGGCGAAGGCGGCAUCCUGGACCGGCAUUGACGCUGA
RNAcentral lists this ribosomal RNA (700 nucleotides) under uncultured bacterium. RNAcentral describes it as "bacterial SSU rRNA". It matches the Rfam family "Bacterial small subunit ribosomal RNA", at positions 54 to 749 of the family's 1533-position model. The record is from RNAcentral.